ACUACAUGAACACUCUAUUUUUGUGAAAUCAUUUUCAGAAAUUUUUCAAAUUUUUAGGGUUUUUUUCAAUGACAUAAAUGAAUGCAGACAAUAUGCACAAUGCAAGAAAAAUUUGAAAACAAGAACAAAGCAAACACAUCAGAUACUUCUUGAGCCCUCCCCCAAACUUAAAUCACACAGUCCUCUGUGUGAUCAAACUUGGAAGAGAGUACUCAGGACAAACAAACAAAGAAAGAA
RNAcentral lists this long non-coding RNA (237 nucleotides) under Arabidopsis lyrata. RNAcentral's name for it is "long non-coding RNA (ALYR_LNC002466)". Lineage: Eukaryota; Viridiplantae; Streptophyta; Magnoliopsida; Brassicales; Brassicaceae. The record is from RNAcentral.